Molecule: long non-coding RNA, 1508 nt
Filed under: Junco hyemalis (dark-eyed junco)
Lineage: Eukaryota; Metazoa; Chordata; Aves; Passeriformes; Passerellidae
Description: lncRNA (ENSJHYG00000017282.1)
Source: RNAcentral
AUGGCAGGAAAUGCUCUGGCUGGAUGUUCAGUGCUUGGUGUGCCCAUUUCUGCCAGAGCAACAUGGAACUGGAGGUGUCCAGCUGAAACAUUUGUGUAUGUCUGUGUACAGCUCCAGUGGGAAUUUGUGCAUGUCUGUGUACAACUGCAAUGGGAAUUUCAGCUCCAAAGCUCCUGCUCUGCUGGGCUCCCUUCACCUGUACUCUCUUCAUCAGCCCUAGGAUGUAAAACUCCAUGAACUGACUGGAUUAAUGAAUUCAAGCUGUUUGCCAUGUGGUCAGGUAAACAGCUCUUCCUCACAUUUCAGAGUAUACAGAGCGAAGAGCAGGACCAUCCCUUUCACUAACACCAAGACAAUCAGAUUAUCUGUAUAUAAUCUAACCACAUCUUUGGUGGCCUCCAGACAUAGGCACAUUCUGUUAUUUCUUUCCUUGCUUUUAGAUCAACAUUUCUCUUGCAAAGCCCCUUUACAGUUUUUUUGAAUAGUACCAAUAUCAUAUCGAGUAGGGAUCAGUUGUAGGAUACAUCACAGCAACACGUGGAGCAGGAGUGCAUUACAAAGUCCAACAGACAAAUGCAAGGUGUUGCACCCCUGAAACAGCAACCCAGGAGUGCAGCAAAGGCUGGCAUCUUUCACAGAAGUCAGUGGGUAAAAGCAUAAAGAAUUGGAUCAGCGUGUCUGUCCUGAAAUUCACUUACUGUACCUGUGGGUACCAUGAAGUGGUGUCAUGAGUAUCAUGAAGUGGUUUCAUAGUACCUGCUUUCUUGAGAUCACUCUUGGGAAUGUGAUUGCCCUCUCCAUGGCUGAAAAGGCUAACAGCAUCUUAAAAGCAAAACCUGAAAUUACUCUGUGCAUAAAGAACCAAAUGGUGCUUCAUCAGAAACAAGGAUGGUAUUGCAGCAAUAACUGAGGUUUCUUCCCCCACAGUGUGAUUGUAAUGGAGCAAGGCAGAACCAGUUUUAUGACUUCAGCACCAGCACUGACUUCCUAGAGAAAGUUUUGGCAUAACCCACAGUCUCUACCCUUAUUUUCUUCUGUCACACCUAAAUCAGAGUUCAUAAAUUCCUGUUUAUCCACUAAUCUUGAAGAGGGAGAAAAGCCUGUGAUAGAAAGCCCUGAGCUGUGCACCUGGCCCAUGGAAACAAGUGCAGAAGCCACAAUAAGCAUUUCCAUCUGCCAGAGACCAGAAUACAGAUCUGUUAGACUGCUCCACUAAAAACAGUUUGUGUAUUUCCACAUGGUGCAUUUUGUGGGAAAAUUAGUCUCAUAGUAAUGUGGUUUGAAAUUACAACUCCUUAUACAAUGUUUUUCUUUUAUAUUUCUGUAGUGGAAAAGGCAAUUAACUUAAAUAUGAUAGAGAGCCUGUAAUUCUGAUCUGUCUGUGGCAGUGAUACUGGAUAGAGGCAGUUAUUGCUACUUGCUAGAAACUCACUAAUUUCUAACACUGCUAAUUGCUAGAAAUUAGUUAACUUUGUAUUUAAAAUAAAUUCUAUUAGAAUGAAAUAGCA